AGAUACAAUAAUGAUGUGAAUAAAGCGAUUUUGUUUACAUUUUUGAAUAAUUAUUAUUUUAAUUAUUUUCUGUUUUACUUACACUGAAUUUAUGAGUUAUCAUUGGGGCUCACCGGAACCUAAAAAAAAAUAUGCAAAUAUGACAUAAAAAUGACAAAAAAUUAAUAAUAAAAAGUUAAUAAACAUAAAUUUGUUUUAAAUUGUACUCUAUUUUAUUAUACAAUUCUAUAUACAUUUAUCAAAGCUUACAGAUAACUCAAAAUAUGACAUAAAAAUUACAAAAAGUGUUCUUUAAAAUUAAAUAAAAUAUUACAAAAAUUAUAAUAAAAUUUAGGUAUAAUAAUAUUCACUACAACAUGACAACGACUACUGUAAUUGGUGAGAUAAAAUUGGAUAGUUACUAAUUUUAGUCCGUGGCAGUUUUAAAGUUCUAAGUAAGUUAUCGGCAUAAUGAUAAGAAGUGAACAAAUGUGAAAUCAGUAAAAAUGACUAAAAAUGUGGAAAAAUGACCUAAAAAUUUCAAAAAUGACUUAAAAAGUAAUAAACACCAAAAAAUGCAAAAUAAUGCAAAAUAAAAAUUAGUUGUUCAGGAGAGCAUCGUCUAAAAAGUUCCAAAAAAAAAAAAAAAUACAUCAACUUCCGAGCCCUAGUUAUCAUUAUAUUUGUUAAUAAUUAUAUCUUUAUUGAUUAUGAAAGGUAUUAUUAUUUGUUUAUAGAAAAAAUAGUUUUUUUGUAAAAUAUUAUACACUAUAUAUAAGUAAACUCAAAUAUCUGUAUGUUAUAUUUUUGGGUUAUUAAAGCAAGUUGAUAUACAUAAAUAAUCCAUAUUUACUCUCAAAAGUUUUUAUAAUUUUAUUAAUUAAUAGCUAUCAUUAUAUUAUUUAUCAAGUUCUUACGUGUAAACAAAAAAAUAACACUUUAAUUUAUUUAUCGUUGGCAUUCCAAUAAAAAACAAAAUAAGUUUAAUAAUAAAUUAAAAUUUAUUAAUUUGGCUCUUAUGUCGCGUUUUUAAUUUCAUGUGUACAUAAAAUCAUUAAAAACAACAAUUAUAAUUCUAAUCACCCUUUUCCUACCAUGUAACUAUGUGGCCAAGUGUAUUUAUAUCGAAUUUAUGAUUAGCAACAGUAAUUUAAAUUAUUAUAAAACUAAAAUGCACAUUGAAUGUCUGAUAGAUUCUAACCUUUGAAUAUAAUAUUUUUUAUAUUUUUGUAUGCUUACAGAAAAGGAAGAUGAUUUCAUAUUUACGGUUGAUUAAGAUUUCAAGUUUACUUGUAGAUGUCAAACUUCAAGUGAAAAUGUUCAUGAACCAACUAACAGUUUUUGAUAUGGAUAAAAUAACAGCUUUUGGAAUUUUCAAUGUAAAUUUGAAUCUCGUUAUGUCGUUCAUUAUUCUACUUAUAACUGGAUUGACAACAUUAUUACAGAUGAAAAACUAUUCAAUUAUGAAUCAGUAUAUGAAUAAUACAAUAUUAUAUUUUACAAAUUUUUCUGAAUCAUCCUAAUACCUUUACUAGUCUGUGCUAAAAAACUUAAAUCAAGUACUGUAAACAGUGUAAACUGUAAAUAAUCAAUUCUUAUUGCAUAUCGAAUAUAGUUUAUUAGUGAACUUAGCUAGACGUUAAACAACUGAAUAACUGAUUAGUUAUUUUUAGGAUAAUACAGUGAUUUUUAUCAUUGAAAGACAUUUUUAUUUGUAUUAAAUUAUUCAUUGAACAUAUAGUUUGUAUUUCUUUUCAUAUUUAAUAUUAGUAUACAUAGAUUAUUGUUAAGUCGUUUUGCAAAUUUAUGUUAUUUUCAGUGUACUUUCUGAAAUCGAAAAUUCAGCGGUGAAACUACUGAAAUGUUAUUUAAUACAAUAGUUUAUUAAUUUUAAUAAAUUUUAAUAAGUUGUUUAUCCGAGUAUUUAGAUGAAAUUAUAAGUAUCCAUGAAUCACUUAU
Rhopalosiphum padi (bird cherry-oat aphid) is the source of this 1938-nucleotide long non-coding RNA. RefSeq lists it as uncharacterized. Lineage: Eukaryota; Metazoa; Arthropoda; Insecta; Hemiptera; Aphididae. The record is from RefSeq and is a predicted model, not a curated record. The transcript is spliced from 3 exons.